AUUGUUACCUGGUGUCAAAAA
This 21-nucleotide microRNA is filed under the name Lottia gigantea (owl limpet). RNAcentral describes it as "Lgi-Mir-96-P1h_3p* (star (passenger))". Lineage: Eukaryota; Metazoa; Mollusca; Gastropoda; Lottiidae. The record is from RNAcentral.